This 356-nucleotide ribosomal RNA is filed under the name uncultured bacterium. Its description in RNAcentral is "bacterial SSU rRNA". It matches the Rfam family "Bacterial small subunit ribosomal RNA", at positions 8 to 350 of the family's 1533-position model. The record is from RNAcentral.
AGAGUUUGAUCAUGGCUCAGGAUGAACGCUAGCUACAGGCUUAACACAUGCAAGUCGAGGGGAAACGAUAUUGGAAGCUUGCUUCCGAUAGGCGUCGACCGGCGCACGGGUGAGUAACGCGUAUCCAACCUGCCCACCACUUGGGGAUAACCUUGCGAAAGUAAGACUAAUACCCAAUGAUAUCUCUAGAAGACAUCUGAAAGAGAUUAAAGAUUUAUCGGUGAUGGAUGGGGAUGCGUCUGAUUAGCUUGUUGGCGGGGUAACGGCCCACCAAGGCGACGAUCGAGUAGGGGUUCUGAGAGGAAGGUCCCCCANAUUGGAACUGAGACACGGUCCAAACGUCCGUACGGGAGGCA